RNAcentral lists this ribosomal RNA (334 nucleotides) under uncultured bacterium. Its description in RNAcentral is "bacterial SSU rRNA". It matches the Rfam family "Bacterial small subunit ribosomal RNA", at positions 355 to 706 of the family's 1533-position model. The record is from RNAcentral.
UAGGGAAUAUUAGUAAUGGGCGAAAGCCUGAACUAGCAACGCCGCGUGUGCGAAGAAGGCCUUCGGGUUGUAAAGCACUUUUUGAGAGGAUGAGGAAGGACGGUACUCUCAGAAUAAGUCUCGGCUAACUACGUGCCAGCAGCCGCGGUAACACGUAGGAGGCGAACGUUAUCCGGAUUUACUGGGCGUAAAGCGCGUGUAGGUGGUUUGGUAAGUAGGGCGUGAAAGCUCCUGGCUCAACUGGGAGAGGCCGUUCUAAACUGCCGAAGUUGAGGGUGGUAGAAGGAGGUGGAAUUACGGGUGUAGCGGUGGAAUGCGCAGAUAUCCGGAGGAA